UUAGGUGCCGCACUUCCACUUGCUUCGGAUAUUCCCAAGAGCAACCCAGUAGUUAAACACUCCCUGUUAAUCUGGGGCCAAUUUAGGAAAAGUUUUGGACUACAGCUUUUUUCACUUAAAAGCCCAAUUGCUGCUAACCAUCUAUUUGCUCCUUCAAUGGCUGAUGGCGCAUUCAAUAUUUGGCACAGAAAAGGUUUGAGAUGCUUUGAAGAUCUAUACAUUGAUAAUUGUUUUGCGAGCUUUUCUCAACUAACAGA
Molecule: unclassified non-coding RNA, 257 nt
Filed under: Hevea brasiliensis (rubber tree)
Lineage: Eukaryota; Viridiplantae; Streptophyta; Magnoliopsida; Malpighiales; Euphorbiaceae
Source: RNAcentral